Molecule: long non-coding RNA, 903 nt
Organism: Branchiostoma floridae (Florida lancelet)
Lineage: Eukaryota; Metazoa; Chordata; Leptocardii; Amphioxiformes; Branchiostomatidae
Exons: 4
Source: RefSeq, a predicted model, not a curated record
GCUGGCCUUCACAUAUGAAUGGUUCCUGAUUCAUAUGUCACCAGGGGAGCUGCUCUUUCUUAGAAGUUCUUCCUGAUCACAAUGCGAUGAUGGCGUCAAUGGUGUCAUAGAGGAGAGCUUCCCGCCCAAAAGCUAAAGCACAGGUGGGAUAGAACUCUCUGUUAUCACAGUUGGUUUUCCAGAAGAAAAGGGGUAUCCAGUUUGAAAUCUCCAACUUUCUGUGCGCUGGAGCUUUGAGAGUUGUCAGGCUUUUUUUUUACACGUUGGCCAGGUAACUAAGUGAAGAAUGCUGUGGCGACACUGGUUCCUGAAGAAUGAUACAGGAAGAUCUAAGACGCUCAAUAGGGUUUGGAAAUGGGAUCAGGGGGUCUUCUUUAUCGAGCGUUCCGCAGUUCUUCGCGACUCCGUCAGCGGAGGGGAGAGAGCGGCCCGCGGUUCGCGACCCUGUCAGUUCUGAAUCAGCGGUGCUUCCUGAAGAAAGCUGCCGACGCCGGAGUCACGGCCUUCCAAAUUUGACACGGUAGUCGUAAAGAUGAAGAGAGGAACCGAGCGGUGAUACCUGACGGGAUUCAGCCCUCAAAACAAUCCUCUUUAUGAUGUAUAGCGUCAAGAGAACAUGCAUGAUGAACUGAACCGACAUUGUUAUAUUUUAUAUUACAUCAAAGCUCUAAUUCCUUCAACACAGACACACAUAAAAGUUCAUCAAAUAAUGCUCACUUUUGAUGUCUUUUCAUGGCCACAGCGUAUUAUUAUGAUGGACUCAAUGCAUUAUGCUAGUCAAUCAAAAGGCAAACACUAUCUCUUACAUUGAUAUUAGUAAAAUACAGUUACUGUAAAUUCACUUGAUCUUGUUUGCAGCACUUAAAUUUUCUUGGCGUAGCGAAAAUCAAACGUUGACGAGGA